Molecule: long non-coding RNA, 549 nt
Organism: Papaver somniferum (opium poppy)
Lineage: Eukaryota; Viridiplantae; Streptophyta; Magnoliopsida; Ranunculales; Papaveraceae
Exons: 4
Source: RefSeq, a predicted model, not a curated record
AUUUUGCGAUUUAUUUUGCUAGGGUUCAGUUGCUUUUGUUUUUCUUUCUCUUCCGCUUUACAGUUUUAUUGUCUAAUCUAUUCAUUUUUUGUUUUGUAUAAAGAUCAAAAAUGUGAUCAACGGGUGUGGCAGUGGGAGCUCAUAAAUAUUAAAACCGUUAUUUUGUAGAUUUGAGGCCUUGAUAGUAAAGUCAUGAGAGAUAUAAUAAAUCAAAAUAAAGUGAAUAUGAUCAAGCACAUAACGAGAACAAAUAUUAAGAAUUAAGAUAAUGAAACAAAAUAUCCAUAUAAAGGGAGAAUCGGCUGGUGUACGAAAUCGUGAAGAAACACUAUGAUCAGUAGUGUUUAUUUAAGGUUACUGAAAUGGUGAUGCCGAAAGAUGAUCCGCAUAACCCUUUUGACUACUGUAGAGUCUAUCUUCGCGUAAUGAGCAAACAGAAAGCGUCAAAUCAGCAUUCCGUAAUUUACAUGUACAAAUAUAAUCCCUGUAAUAUACAUUGAUGACAAAAGAGAAUAUAAUUGGACAUUACAUUUGGGUAUAGUCCCUAUA